GAACAAGCCAGGGCCUCACACUGUGGGCGGCCUCACCCCAGAGCCACAUUCGGCCACCUGGUUCCUUGGUGAAUAAGGAUCGUGUGUGCACACAGUGAGCGGGUGGUGCUUGGCUGUGUGUGGGAUGGCUGUCGACCUGCUCAGGGCUUGCGCUCGUUUAUUGUGUGUGUGUGAGAACACUUCAGUGAACUCUCGGCACUUUUAUAUGUUUAUUCUACUCGUAGAUGGACACAAGGCUUUUGUUUUACGUUUACAUGGUGCUGAGGUUCGGACCAGUGCCUCACACAUGCUAGGCAAGCGCUCUGCCACUGAGCCCAACCCCAGCCCCUCUUGGCACUUUUUAAGAGCUGCACCUUGUCAUCAGCUGCAGUCACCACACUGAGGACAGAUCUCUAGAACUUUCUCCUCCUGCCUGAUGCUCAGUCUUUGCCCAACACCUCCCAAUUCCUCCUCCAGCCAGCCUGGGCCCCACUGUUUGGGGUCACGUGGCACUCCCCCCUCCGUGCCUGGCUUAUUUACAACUCAGUGCCACCUUCCACCACCCGGACUCACUCUUCCAGUGGUAAUGACAUCUGUCACAGAGCCUCAGGCUACCACACUGGGGAAGGCCCAACCUUCUGUGUCAGAUGGGAAUCCAGCAAAAAAUUCUCAUCCAACUGGUGAAGACAAGAAGGGAAUUUGUUGGCUCAUAAAUAUAUGAGCUGGCUUCAGGCAGGGUUGGAUCCACUAUCUCCCUUGUGUCCUCAAGGCUUGGUCUGUGUCCCGUGGGUCUGUUUUGUCCUGUGCUUCAAUUGAAGUCAGACUCAAGCAGCCUUGAGUGGACCAGCUCUUCUCACAGCCCAUCAGCAAGGGCGUGUCUCCAACCCACUAGUUCUAGUGCAGAUAUCAGGAUCUGGACUCUGCUUUGCUUUUACCUUUGCAGUGCCGGGAGUGUACCCAUUCCCCAACCAAUGCCUAGGGCUGGCCAGGCCUGGUGACAUGGGCUGCUCCUGCGAGGUGGGACUGGCCCGGGGAGGGGCUUCCACCAGAGAAACAAGGUGGCCUUCACAGAGGUGAAUCAUGUGACAGGAAGCAAGGCCCUGGGGCACACCCACUGUGGGACAGCCCUGCUGAAUCAUCUGGUGCUAGGGAUGGGAGCCCGGGUGAGGGUCCCUCCCAGGCACACCCCAGCCCGGGUCUUCGCAGUGCUCAGGAAUUCCUUGCUCGGGGCCAGCUGUGGCAGCCCAGACUUUCCUUGGUGUCCCAGUGAUGUAGAAGUGGCCAGAGCUUGGCCCUGAGCACCACCGGCAUCCACUGGGUGGCCACCCCAGCUGGCCAGCCCGUCCUUUCCCAGGAUAUGAGGCACGUGUUGUCUUUGCUUUGCAACCUAAAGCACAGGUGGCGGAGCAAGGAGCCCCGAAGCUCGGGAUCAACUCCAGCGUUCCCCAGUUCAUGACUGUAGGACUCGGGUGCUGGGGUCACGCAUGUCCUGGCCUGGCGGCAGGGGCUUCCCGGGGACUUGGGCUGAGGCCGCCACAGCGCCACCAUUGAGCGCCCCCUCCCUGGCCGCAUCCGGCAGCGCGCAGCUGCCCAGAGACCCUCUCUGGCGUGGGGCGCAGCAGGCGGCUGGGCAGGGAGAGUGGGAAGCAGGGCCGCGGGCUGCCCUUGGAGGGGUGGGUUCUGGGUUCUAGCUCAGUCUUCCCUCUGCCCUGCUGUCCCCCGGUGACCGCAGCAUCUAACCAUCCCUCCGAGGGGCAAAGGGUUCGCUUCUCGGCGACCCGGCCGGCGCUUGCUGGUUUCUGGUUUUGUUUUGUCUUGAUGUCAGCCAUCCCAAUAGGUGGCGUCAAGUGCUUCUCCGAUGUUCUCCGAUGGACUUUUAUUAAGAGGUAGAUUCACAUGCAGUUAUCAGAAGUGACAGAGAUUCUGUCUGUUACCCUUGAUGAGAACAUCGCACAGAACCGGAGGGCCCCAUCCCAACCAGGGUGUGGCAUGGCGGUGUGGGCACAGGCCACCUGCCCCAGUGCCCUCUGGCCACCCCCUCGUGCCUGUCAGCGCCUGCAGCUCCGCCCUUUUGGGGCGUGGUCUCUGGGGCAUCUGGAAGCGUGUGGCCUUUCCAGUUGGCUGGCCCAGAGCCUCUGCCCCUGCUCCCCAGCCCCUGACCCUCAGGGAGCCAGGGGACAGUGAACGUUGAGGGCCGAUUUAGGCUGACGUGUUUUUUGGUGCUGGGACUGGAACCCAGGGCUUCCCGUUGCUCGUGUGCUCUGCCUUGAGCUGCGCUCCCGCAGGACAGGUCUGGACUUCUUUCUUGUCCAGCGAGGCUUGGCCGAGCUCCUGCGGGCCGCCCCAUUCCACCUGUGGGGGGCAGUGGCCAGGCCCAUCACGUGUGUGUCCUACCCCAGGUACGUCCGCGGCAGCUGUCUGAGAAGGACGCAGUACAAGUGUCCAUCCCCGGGACCUCUGUACAGGGAUGGCUUAGAGCGACUGUUGGCCCGGAGCCCCCGCCAGGCUGCGGGUCGACAUCCAGGGCAUGGGUGACCUCCAGCAGGCGCCAGAGGCCCGCGCCCAGGAGCUCACAGCAGCGUGGCUUUUUAAACUAAACUUAAAAGGCUGGAAUAGUUUUAGAUUUGUGGAUAAGUUGCAAAUUUAAUAUAGAGAAUUCUUGUAUAUUUUCCCCAAACCACCAGUUUCCCCUUAAGAUUGACGUCUCCCUGACUCGGUGGUGUCAUACCCACGUGGCAACGAACAUCAGUUACUGCUUAGCCACGGGCAGCGUCUCCGGCUGUCCCAGCAUGUCCUGGAAUGCCCUUUUCCUGUUCCAGGACCUAUCCAGGAUCUCACAUUACACACAAAAGCAUUGGUUUUUUUCCCUUAAAAAAUAAAUAUAUUGAGAUAAAAAUUGCACACCAUAUAAUUCAUGUAUUUUGGGUGUACGAUUAGAUGCUUUUAGUGUGUUCACAGAGUUACAGAAAUAUCUCUGCUAUUCAAUUCCAGCACAUUUUUGUCAUUCCCCAGAGAAACUCUGAUCAUCAGUUGGUCGCCUCCCAGGCACCCCAGCCUCUCUCUGGCCACCACGGUCCCUUCUCGUCUGCUGCUGCCCCCCGCCCCCUGCCCCCAUGUGUAGUAAAGUGGAGUCUCACACUGGGACUGGCUUCUUGGACUGUCGCUGUGUUGAAAAAGAGUAUUUUAAAUAUUUAAUACAGACUUGAUUUUGGGCUCACAACAAAAUUGAGAGCAAAAUCCAGGCGGUUCCCACACCCUGUCCCUGCACGCGCACAGCUGCCCCGCUCUCGGCAGCUUGCCCUACACCAUGGCGUGUGCACCCAGAGGGCUUCGCUCACCCUGAGGUUCACCCUUGCUGUUGGACAGUCCUUGGAUUCGGACAAAGUUUUCCCAAUGUGAAGCCCCUGUUACGGGACUGCCCUUAAAAUCCUCCCCUCCAAAAUGUCUUUAGUAGUGAAAAGUGGGAAACAGGUAAGCAUCCAUCAGUGGAUGGACAGGUGCAUACAUCUUAAUGUAUUCGUAUAGAGUGAUUCUGUCCGGCUGUGAACAGGAACCCUGCGGAUGUGUGUCAUCCUGGACUGUCACACGAGAAGCUGGAGAAGGACUUGUCGCCAAGAACUGGAUACCAUCCAUGGCUGCAGCACUUCCCAAGGGCCUUCGUGUGGGGCUGCAAGCCUGUCAUUCUCCAGCAGGGAGUAGAGUGUCUAUGGAAGGUUCUAGACCAUGAGCACUAACCCUACAUGUUGCUUAUGGACACAUGCAUGCAAUAAGAGCAUAAAACACGCACAGAAAUGCUGACUAAGUGCAGGGCAUCCUGGCCUCCUGAUGGGGGAAGCAGGUGGCAGUGGAGGGUUCCCAUUGGUAUUUGCCAUGUCCAGCUGGGAGGUGGACAUGUGUUGGCACCUCUCCAUUGCUUUGGUGUGCGCGGUGGCUUUCAUAAUAAAUUUUUAAAAGAGCAAAGAUCAAUGCAAGAGUGUGUGUGGAGGGAGCUAUAUUUGGGGUUUUCAAAGGAUUCAUCUAUAUUUGCUCCCAGACGCAUGCUCUAGCCCUGGACAAAAUCCUAAAUAGACCUGAGCUCUCAGGGAGGGACCCUGUGGAUAGGGAGGGGAGGUUUUUCUCUGAUAACUUUUGAAUUUUCCAUGACAUGUAUUAUUACCUAUUUAUUAAAAAGUAAUCCAACUUAUCUUUGGA
RNAcentral lists this long non-coding RNA (4170 nucleotides) under Marmota monax (woodchuck). Lineage: Eukaryota; Metazoa; Chordata; Mammalia; Rodentia; Sciuridae. The record is from RNAcentral.